This 468-nucleotide ribosomal RNA is filed under the name uncultured bacterium. Its description in RNAcentral is "partial 16S ribosomal RNA". It matches the Rfam family "Bacterial small subunit ribosomal RNA", at positions 28 to 507 of the family's 1533-position model. The record is from RNAcentral.
GACGAACGCUGGCGGCGUGCUUAAUACAUGCAAGUCGAACGGAAAGGCCCUGCGUUUGUGGGGUUCUCGAGUGGCGAACGGGGGAGUAACACGUGUGUAACCUGCCCUUGACUUUGGGGUAACUUCAGGAAACUGGGGCUAAUAUCGGGUAGGAGCUCCUGCUGCAUGUGAUGGGUUGGAAAGUUUCGGCGGUUGGGGAUGGAAUCGCGGGUUAUCAGCUUGUUGGUGUGGUAGUUGCGUACAACGGCUUUGACGGGUAGCCGGCAUGGGAGCCUGACCGGCCACCUUGGGCCUGCGAUACGGACCAGAAUCCUACGGGCGGCAGCAGUGGGGAAUAUUGCACAAUGGGCGCAAGUCUGAUGCAGCAACGCCGCGUGCGUGAUGACGGCCUUCGGGUUGUAAACCGAUUUCGCAUGUGACGAAGCGUGCGUGACGGUACUGAGUAAAGAAGCCACGGCUAACUACGUG